AGGUCUGCAGGAAGGGCCUGCCUCCACUCAUGCAGGUACCUGGGAUCACCUGUCCAUUGGCUACACUGCCCUUUAGGGCCUCCAAAUCCCCAGCUGAAUUAUUCCCAUCCAUCUAGUAGGAAAGGAAAAAAGAAUGUUGAAGGAUCAUGCAAAAUGUUUUAGGGGCCAGUCCUGGACGUAAAAUAUGUUACAUUGGCUAGAAUGCUGUUACACAUUGCCACCUAUUUCAAGAGAUGCUGAGAUUUGGAGUCUUCUUGGGUGCCCAGAGAUUUGAGUAUCACCUAGCACUGUUUCUGCUUCAGAAAAAAUAUCCCUUGACAUUGGCUGUGAUACCUACCAACCUGAAAAAAUAUCCCUUGACAUUGGCUGUGAUACCUACCAAGCUCACAUAUAUGCAAUGCAACUUUAUUCUGUUAAAAACAGGAGGUCUAUCAAUAGUUUCUUACCACAAGGGAAAUGGAAGUAGAACUCUGAAGCUAAAUCAGAGGACUCCAAGCAAAUGAAGUGACUGAAAGCAAGAAUGGCUCAUUGCCCUUGAGCUACACAGAAAUGUAUAGGUGGGUGUAUUGGGUCGGUUCCCUGGAAGCACAACCUCAGAUGGGGAUUCUUGUGCAAAAGAUACACGGAGGAAGAGCUCAAGGAAGUAACUUGCAAUGAAGCAAGGGGAGCAAGCUGGAGCAGGAGAAAAGAUCAGGCAAAGGCAUGCUUUCAGAAGUCUAGCCUCGGCCUCAUCCACAGGGAGCUCCAGAGAGUGAAUGGUACCAUGCAGCUGGUCAACCUUCUUGGAGGAGGGAGCUGCUGAUAGCCUUCAGUAGACAGCACUUGCACUAGCCAAGGGAUGAGUGCACCAGCCCAGUGGAGGGGAUCUGGGUAGAGCACCUAUGCCAUCUGCUAUAAUAGACUCUACGUGUCUUCUAGGAAGGACAUGCUUUUCCUUUUCGUAUCCUCUACCUGAAGCAAUAUAUCACGUACUCAGCAGACGCUCAAUAAGUGUUUGAGAAAUGAAGAAACAAAAAGACAGAGGGAAGGAGAGAAGAAAAGAAACAAGAUUACAGAAAAUUCUAAAAUACUCUUGGGCUCCAAGAAAUGCAUCUUCAAAUAAGGAACUUCACAUACUUAUGCUGAGCAAUGAGAGAGAUAUUUUGAGAAACCUGAAAAAAUAAGAGAACUUUGAGUUUUCAGUGCUCUGGAAAUGGCAAAAAGACCACUCUGGUAACUGAAUUGAAAAUAGGCUAAAGGAGGACAAGAGCAGAAGGGAGGAAAGAAUUGCAAUAAACCAGGCAAGAGAUGGCAGUGAAUAAAGAGGUAUUUCAUGGAGGGGCUUCUCCAAGUUUAAUGUGCACAAGAAUCACUGGGAAGCUUGCUGAAGAGCAGAUUGUAAUUCUGCAAGUCAGGGACGGGGCCUGAGAUUCUGAAUUUCUAACAAAUUUUCAGGUGAUGCUAAUAUUGCUGAUUUGAUGACCACAGUUGAGAAGGAAGACUUCUUGAACUUGCUGAUAGGUUGCAUUUGGAAAGCAUAAAAAGAAAAGAA
This is a long non-coding RNA of Homo sapiens (human), 1531 nucleotides long. The record is from Ensembl. NCBI's taxonomy places the organism in Eukaryota, Metazoa, Chordata, Mammalia, Primates, Hominidae.